UACGUAGGGUGCAAGCGUUGUCCGGAAUUAUUGGGCGUAAAGAGCUCGUAGGCGGUUUGUUGCGUCGGCUGUGAAAUCCCGAGGCUCAACCUCGGGUCUGCAGUCGAUACGGGCAGACUAGAGGUAUGCAGGGGAGAACGGAAUUCCUGGUGUAGCGGUGAAAUGCGCAGAUAUCAGGAGGAACACCGGUGGCGAAGGCGGUUCUCUGGGCAUUACCUGACGCUGAGGAGCGAAAGUGUGGGGAGCGAACAGG
RNAcentral lists this ribosomal RNA (253 nucleotides) under uncultured bacterium. RNAcentral's name for it is "partial 16S ribosomal RNA". It matches the Rfam family "Bacterial small subunit ribosomal RNA", at positions 524 to 776 of the family's 1533-position model. The record is from RNAcentral.